Molecule: long non-coding RNA, 254 nt
Filed under: Mytilus galloprovincialis (Mediterranean mussel)
Lineage: Eukaryota; Metazoa; Mollusca; Bivalvia; Mytilida; Mytilidae
Source: RNAcentral
AAAAGAACAGGUUCAACCCACCAUUUUUUCAUAAAAUGCCCUUUACCAAGUCAGGAAAAUGGUCAUUGUUACAUUAUAGUUCGUUUCUGUGUGUGUUACGUUUCGGUGUUGUGUCUCUGUUGUGUCGUAGUUCUCAUAUGUUUGAUACGUUUCCCUCAGAUUUAGUUUGUAACCCGGAUUUUUAUUUUCUAUCGAUUUAUGAAUUUUGAACAGCGGUAUACUACUGUUGCCUUUAUUUAUGGUAACGAUAAUUG